GAAGGAUCAUUAAAGAGUAAGGGUGCUCAGCGCCCGACCUCCAACCCUUUGCUGUUAAAACUACCUUGUUGCUUUGGCGGGACCGCUCGGUUCCGAGCCGCUGGGGAUUCGUCCCAGGCGAGCGCCCGCCAGAGUUAAACCAAACUCUUGUUAUUUAACCGGUCGUCUGAGUAAAAAUUUUGAAUAAAUCAAAACUUUCAACAACGGAUCUCUUGGUUCUCGCAUCGAUGAAGAACGCAGCGAAAUGCGAUAAGUAAUGUGAAUUGCAGAAUUCAGUGAAUCAUCGAAUCUUUGAACGCACAUUGCGCCCCUUGGUAUUCCGAGGGGCAUGCCUGUUCGAGCGUCAUUACACCACUCAAGCUAUGCUUGGUAUUGGGCGUCGUCCUUAGUUGGGCGCGCCUUAAAGACCUCGGCGAGGCCACUCCGGCUUUAGGCGUAGUAGAAUUUAUUCGAACGUCUGUCAAAGGAGAGGAACUCUGCCGACUGAAACCUUUAUUUUUCUAGGUUGACCUCGGAUCAGGUAGGGAUACCCGCUGAACUUAA
RNAcentral lists this unclassified non-coding RNA (543 nucleotides) under Metschnikowia sp. JSKim-2014. RNAcentral's name for it is "partial contains 18S rRNA, ITS1, 5.8S rRNA, and ITS2". The stretch from base 193 to 346 matches the Rfam family "5.8S ribosomal RNA". Lineage: Eukaryota; Fungi; Ascomycota; Pichiomycetes; Serinales; Metschnikowiaceae. The record is from RNAcentral.